CCGCACUGGCCGGGGAAGCAGCGGCUCCCUGUACCUGCAAUCCGCUAUAGCAGGGGUGAUUUCCCGCCCUCGGGUCAUGCGAGUUUCUGACUGCCCCAUGCAUAAGGUGUUGAGGAUCCGGCCCUGCGCAAUCUGAGCCCGUGAACCAUGUCAGGCGGGGGACCGAGCAGCAUUAAGCGGUGUCUUCAGGUGUGCCGCGGGUAAACCGAGUCUGAGCUGAGUGUAUGGGUAACGGGAGGUUCGCAUAUUCAAAGGUGGGUGUGCGG
This 266-nucleotide signal recognition particle RNA is filed under the name Clostridiales bacterium. Its description in RNAcentral is "signal recognition particle sRNA large type". It matches the Rfam family "Bacterial large signal recognition particle RNA". From Rfam's summary of the family: The signal recognition particle (SRP) is a universally conserved ribonucleoprotein involved in the co-translational targeting of proteins to membranes. Archaeal SRP consists of a 7S RNA and homologues of the eukaryotic SRP19 and SRP54 proteins. The record is from RNAcentral. Lineage: Bacteria; Bacillati; Bacillota; Clostridia; Eubacteriales. RNAcentral also lists the same sequence under 1 other name.